This 560-nucleotide ribosomal RNA is filed under the name uncultured bacterium. RNAcentral describes it as "bacterial SSU rRNA". It matches the Rfam family "Bacterial small subunit ribosomal RNA", at positions 921 to 1490 of the family's 1533-position model. The record is from RNAcentral.
CCGCACAAGCGGAGGAGCAUGUGGUUUAAUUCGAUGAUACGCGAGGAACCUUACCCGGACUCAAAUGCGGCCCGACAGGGGCAGAGAUGCCCCCUCCCUACGGGGCGGGUCACAAGGUGCUGCAUGGUUGUCGUCAGCUCGUGCCGUGAGGUGUCAGGUUAAGUCCUAUAACGAGCGCAACCCCUACGUCCAGUUGCCAGCGGGUUAGGCCGGGGACUCUGGACGGACUGCCGGCGCAAGCCGAGAGGAAGGCGGGGAUGACGUCAAAUCAGCACGGCCCUUACGUCCGGGGCGACACACGUGCUACAAUGGCCGGUACAGAGGGCAGCCACCCCGCGAGGGGGAGCGAAUCUCGAAAGCCGGUCUCAGUUCGGAUCGGAGUCUGCAACCCGACUCCGUGAAGUUGGAUUCGCUAGUAAUCGCGCAUCAGCCAUGGCGCGGUGAAUACGUUCCCGGGCAUUGUACACACCGCCCGUCAAGCCAUGAAAGUCCGUGGUACCUGAAGUCCGUGACCGCGAGGGGCGGCGUAGGGUAAAACGGGUGAUUGGGGCUAAGUUGUA